RNAcentral lists this unclassified non-coding RNA (623 nucleotides) under Trichophyton interdigitale. Its description in RNAcentral is "sequence contains 18S rRNA gene, ITS1, 5.8S rRNA gene, ITS2, 28S rRNA gene". The stretch from base 265 to 418 matches the Rfam family "5.8S ribosomal RNA". The record is from RNAcentral. Lineage: Eukaryota; Fungi; Ascomycota; Eurotiomycetes; Onygenales; Arthrodermataceae.
GAUCAUUAGCGCGCAGGCCGGAGGCUGGCCCCCCACGAUAGGGCCAAACGUCCGUCAGGGGUGAGCAGAUGUGCGCCGGCCGUACCGCCCCAUUCUUGUCUACAUUACUCGGUUGCCUCGGCGGGCCGCGCUCUCCCAGGAGAGCCGUUCGGCGAGCCUCUCUUUAGUGGCUAAACGCUGGACCGCGCCCGCCGGAGGACAGACGCAAAAAAAUUCUUUCAGAAGAGCUGUCAGUCUGAGCGUUAGCAAGCAAAAAUCAGUUAAAACUUUCAACAACGGAUCUCUUGGUUCCGGCAUCGAUGAAGAACGCAGCGAAAUGCGAUAAGUAAUGUGAAUUGCAGAAUUCCGUGAAUCAUCGAAUCUUUGAACGCACAUUGCGCCCCCUGGCAUUCCGGGGGGCAUGCCUGUUCGAGCGUCAUUUCAGCCCCUCAAGCCCGGCUUGUGUGAUGGACGACCGUCCGGCGCCCCCGUCUUUGGGGGUGCGGGACGCGCCCGAAAAGCAGUGGCCAGGCCGCGAUUCCGGCUUCCUAGGCGAAUGGGCAACAAACCAGCGCCUCCAGGACCGGCCGCCCUGGCCUCAAAAUCUGUUUUAUACUUAUCAGGUUGACCUCGGAUCAGGUAGG